This 301-nucleotide ribosomal RNA is filed under the name uncultured bacterium. Its description in RNAcentral is "partial 16S ribosomal RNA". It matches the Rfam family "Bacterial small subunit ribosomal RNA", at positions 509 to 807 of the family's 1533-position model. The record is from RNAcentral.
CAGUCGCCGCGGUAAUACGUAGGGUGCAAGCGUUGUCCGGAAUUAUUGGGCGUAAAGAGCUCGUAGGCGGUUUGUCGCGUCUGCUGUGAAAACGCGAGGCUCAACCUCGCGCCUGCAGUGGGUACGGGCAGACUAGAGUGUGGUAGGGGAGAUUGGAAUUCCUGGUGUAGCGGUGGAAUGCGCAGAUAUCAGGAGGAACACCGAUGGCGAAGGCAGAUCUCUGGGCCAUUACUGACGCUGAGGAGCGAAAGCGUGGGGAGCGAACAGGAUUAGAUACCCCUGUAGUCCCUGUCUCUUAUAC